CCUACGGGUGGCAGCAGUGAGGAAUAUUGGUCAAUGGACGAGAGUCUGAACCAGCCAAGUAGCGUGAAGGAUGACUGCCCUAUGGGUUGUAAACUUCUUUUAUAUGGGAAUAAAACGUUCCACGUGUGGGAUUUUGUAUGUACCAUAUGAAUAAGGAUCGGCUAACUCCGUGCCAGCAGCCGCGGUAAUACGGAGGAUCCGAGCGUUAUCCGGAUUUAUUGGGUUUAAAGGGAGCGUAGGUGGAUUGUUAAGUCAGUUGUGAAAGUUUGGGGCUCAACCGUAAAAUUGCAGUUGAAACUGGCAGUCUUGAGUACAGUAGAGGUGGGCGGAAUUCGUGGUGUAGCGGUGAAAUGCUUAGAUAUCACGAAGAACUCCGAUUGCGAAGGCAGUUCACUGGACUACAACUGACACUGAGGCUCGAAAGUGUGGGUAUCAAACAGGAUUAGAUACCCCGGUAGUC
This 460-nucleotide ribosomal RNA is filed under the name uncultured bacterium. Its description in RNAcentral is "partial 16S ribosomal RNA". It matches the Rfam family "Bacterial small subunit ribosomal RNA", at positions 338 to 795 of the family's 1533-position model. The record is from RNAcentral.